RNAcentral lists this ribosomal RNA (347 nucleotides) under uncultured bacterium. RNAcentral describes it as "partial 16S ribosomal RNA". It matches the Rfam family "Bacterial small subunit ribosomal RNA", at positions 338 to 682 of the family's 1533-position model. The record is from RNAcentral.
CCUACGGGUGGCAGCAGUGAGGAAUAUUGGUCAAUGGGCGCGAGCCUGAACCAGCCAAGUAGCGUGAAGGAUGACGGCCCUACGGGUUGUAAACUUCUUUGAUAAAGGAAUAAAGUGAGGCACGUGUGCCAUUUUGUAUGUACUUUAUGAAUAAGGAACGGCUAACUCCGUGCCAGCAGCCGCGGUAAUACGGAGGAUCCGAGCGUUAUCCGGAUUUAUUGGGUUUAAAGGGAGCGUAGAUGUGUUGUUAAGUCAGUUGUGACAGUUUGCGGCUCAACCGUAAAAUUGCAAUUGAUACUGGCAGUCUUUAGUACAGUUGCGGUCGGCGGAAUUCGUGGUGUAGCGGU